GGAGGGAUGCCCGAGUGGCCAAAGGGAGCAGACUGUAAAUCUGCCGGCAAAUGCCUACGGGGGUUCAAAUCCUCCUCCCUCCACCA
Molecule: transfer RNA, 86 nt
Filed under: Armatimonadia bacterium
Lineage: Bacteria; Bacillati; Armatimonadota; Armatimonadia
Description: tRNA-Tyr
Rfam family: tRNA
About the family: Transfer RNA (tRNA) molecules are approximately 80 nucleotides in length. Their secondary structure includes four short double-helical elements and three loops (D, anti-codon, and T loops).
Source: RNAcentral